AUUGAACGCUGGCGGCAUGCUUUACACAUGCAAGUCGAACGGUAACAGGCCUUCGGGUGCUGACGAGUGGCGAACGGGUGCGUAACGCAUCGGAACGUACCCAGAGGUGGGGGAUAACGCAGCGAAAGCUGUGCUAAUACCGCAUGUGAUCUGAGGAUGAAAGCGGGGGACCGAGCAGCAAUGUUUGGCCUCGCGCCUUUGGAGCGGCCGAUGUCGGAUUAGCUAGUUGGUGGGGUAAAGGCCUACCAAGGCGACGAUCCGUAGCUGGUCUGAGAGGACGACCAGCCACACUGGGACUGAGACACGGCCCAGACUCCUACGGGAGGCAGCAGUGGGGAAUUUUGGACAAUGGGCGCAAGCCUGAUCCAGCAAUGCCGCGUGCGGGAAGAAGGCCUUCGGGUUGUAAACCGCUUUUGGCAGGAACGAAACGGUGUCCGCUAAUACCGGGCGCUAAUGACGGUACCUGCAGAAUAAGCACCGGCUAACUACGUG
RNAcentral lists this ribosomal RNA (492 nucleotides) under uncultured bacterium. RNAcentral's name for it is "partial 16S ribosomal RNA". It matches the Rfam family "Bacterial small subunit ribosomal RNA", at positions 29 to 507 of the family's 1533-position model. The record is from RNAcentral.